RNAcentral lists this transfer RNA (72 nucleotides) under Takifugu rubripes (torafugu). It matches the Rfam family "tRNA". Rfam says of the family: Transfer RNA (tRNA) molecules are approximately 80 nucleotides in length. Their secondary structure includes four short double-helical elements and three loops (D, anti-codon, and T loops). Further hydrogen bonds mediate the characteristic L-shaped molecular structure. tRNAs have two regions of fundamental functional importance: the anti-codon, which is responsible for specific mRNA codon recognition, and the 3' end, to which the tRNAs corresponding amino acid is attached (by aminoacyl-tRNA synthetases). tRNAs cope with the degeneracy of the genetic code in two manners: having more than one tRNA (with a specific anti-codon) for a particular amino acid; and 'wobble' base-pairing, i.e. permitting non-standard base-pairing at the 3rd anti-codon position. Lineage: Eukaryota; Metazoa; Chordata; Actinopteri; Tetraodontiformes; Tetraodontidae. The record is from Rfam by way of RNAcentral.
AGUUCCAUGGCGUAAUGGUCAGCACUCUGCACUCUGACUCCAGCGAUCUGAGUUCAAAUCUCAGUAGAGCCU